AUCCUUUUGUGUUUUCUAGUUGAUAACUGGGUUUUCAUGCUGCUGUGUGAGAUGUCUCCUCAAAUUUUGCUAUGAUGUCAGCACAUUACCCAUCUGACA
Small nucleolar RNA from Arvicola amphibius (Eurasian water vole), 99 nucleotides. RefSeq annotates it as small nucleolar RNA U13. The record is from RefSeq and is a predicted model, not a curated record. Lineage: Eukaryota; Metazoa; Chordata; Mammalia; Rodentia; Cricetidae. The transcript has a single exon.